AACGAACGCUGGCGGCGCGCCUAAUACAUGCAAGUCGAGCGAGAAGGUGUAGCAAUACACUUGUAAAGCGGCGAACGGGUGAGGAAUGCAUGGGUAACCUACCCUCGAGUGGGGAAUAACUAGCCGAAAGGUUAGCUAAUACCGCAUACGUUUCCGGAACUUCGGUUUCGGAAAGAAAGCAAUACCGUGGGUAUUGCGCUCCUGGAUGGGCUCAUGUCCUAUCAGCUUGUUGGUGAGGUAACGGCUCACCAAGGCUUCGACGGGUAGCUGGUCUGAGAGGACGAUCAGCCACACUGGCACUGCGACACGGGCCAGACUCCUACGGGAGGCAGCAGUAAGGAAUAUUGCGCAAAUGGACGAAAGCUUGACGCAGCG
This 375-nucleotide ribosomal RNA is filed under the name uncultured bacterium. Its description in RNAcentral is "bacterial SSU rRNA". It matches the Rfam family "Bacterial small subunit ribosomal RNA", at positions 29 to 393 of the family's 1533-position model. The record is from RNAcentral.